Molecule: long non-coding RNA, 986 nt
Organism: Pezoporus flaviventris
Lineage: Eukaryota; Metazoa; Chordata; Aves; Psittaciformes; Psittacidae
Exons: 3
Source: RefSeq, a predicted model, not a curated record
GGAGGUCUGGUGGGAACCUGAUUAUGGUUUGAACUGACUCAGGGAUGUAGGAAUGGUCUGAAGGAGCCCAGAGAAGAGUAAGGCCACUGAGCAGCGGGUAGGGAUUAGCAGAAAUGGAAUGGCAAAGAACAAUUUGUAUGCAAUUCUUGUCUCUUUGUGGCCAAAAUGAUUCUCCAGAGGCACCCCAGUGUGAACACAGGGGUAAACUUGAGGAUAAGCUGAAAAAGGUGAACAAAAGAGGGUGGGUGGACUCUGUGACAACAGGAGUGUCCUCAGUGUGUGAAGUGUGUGGUCAGCCUGAAGCCUGGCAGGAGAAGCUAGGCAUGGAGAGGCAGAGGUAAACAGAGCAUUGAAGGUGUUGAAAAGAGGUACCUGUGCAUGAGGACCUUGUGGGAUGAAGAGGAAGAGUGAUGCGGAUGAAUCAACAGAAUAGCCUACAAGAGCUGACAGGUUUGGGCAGGAGAAGAGCUCAGUGAUAAGAAGGAACAACGACAGCCAACCACCUCUUGGCAAUCAAGCAAAGAAGCAGUGACAUCCAUUCUCCUUUCCUGGGGGAGAAGUAAGACUGAAUGUCAGCAACUACUUGUAUGAACGCAGUGCUUUGUGAGAAAGAAGCAGGACUUCAAAGUGGUGAGACACCAAAGGUGGCUGCUGCUGUGACAGGGAAGCCAGUGCUUGAAAAUCCUGCUGCCGCAGGAGAGAAAAAUCCUGUUUGCUUCAGAAUUGCUCCGCUGCACUGGUCUAGCUCUUCUCCCUUGGAAGCAUUUUGAUUUUAUUGACAGCACAGUGGGACCUAGUGUUAGAAUCACUCAGUCUACCUCCACAGCCAGCAUUUUUGUAAUAGUAACUGGUCUUUUUGUAAAAGAGGGACUGUAGGCAGCUGGCCACAGUCUGGAUGUCUCCCCACGAGUCUGCGAGAGAGGAUGAUGAGAUGAAGAGUGCAGCUUUUGAAACCUCCCUGAACAUGAAGAGCUGUAGGAUCCAUU